Molecule: ribosomal RNA, 465 nt
Filed under: uncultured bacterium
Lineage: Bacteria
Description: partial 16S ribosomal RNA
Rfam family: Bacterial small subunit ribosomal RNA
Source: RNAcentral
CCUACGGGGUGCAGCAGUGGGGAAUAUUGCGCAAUGGGCGAAAGCCUGACGCAGCGACGCCGCGUGAGGGAUGAAGGUCUUCGGAUCGUAAACCUCUGUCAGCAGGGAAGAACGGUCACUGUGCUAAUCAGCAGUGAAUUGACGGUACCUGCAAAGGAAGCACCGGCUAACUCCGUGCCAGCAGCCGCGGUAAUACGGAGGGUGCGAGCGUUCAUCGGAAUUACUGGGCGUAAAGCGCUCGUAGGCGGUAUGUCAAGUCAAGGGUGAAAUCCCCGGGCUCCAGGUGGGAACUGCCUUUGAAACUGGCAAACUGGAGUGUGUGAGAAGAUAGUGGAAUUCCAGGUGGAGGAGUGAAAUCCGUAGAUAUCUGGAGGAAAAUCAGUGGCGAAGGGGACAAUCUGGCACAUAACUGACGCUGAGGAGCGAAAGCGGGGGUAGAAAACAGGAUUAGAGACCCGUGGAGUC